RNAcentral lists this transfer RNA (71 nucleotides) under Enchelycore pardalis (leopard moray eel). RNAcentral's name for it is "tRNA-Ile". The record is from RNAcentral. Lineage: Eukaryota; Metazoa; Chordata; Actinopteri; Anguilliformes; Muraenidae.
GGAAGCGUGCCUGAAACCAAAGGGCCACUUUGAUAGAGUGGAUCAUAGAGGUUAAAGCCCUCUCGCUUCCU